UCUCUCCCCCUAAUGUCCAACCUCUUCCUCUUUUCUCUUUUGGCUUCCUGGCCACUAGAAGGUGAGGGCUUCCUCUGCCACCUACUCUCACCAUGUUGUAGUGCCUCCCCACAGUCCCAAGAGUAACAGAUCAACUGACCAUGGAUUGAAGCCUGUGAAACCGCGUGCCAAAAACUAGCCACUGCACCAGGAAGAUAAACCAGGGCAAGACGAGAAAACACAGUGCUGUCCUGAUAAACGGCUCUAAAUCCCUCCUAUCCAGGCUGAGGUGUUUCUGCUACCUUGUGACUUCCAGGAAAACAUUUUCAUGCAAUUAACAUUCCUCACCACCAAAAGCACUUUACAGUUGGCAAAGCACCUCCAACAUGUUGUCCUGGAGCCACGCUGUCCAAUAGAAACAGAAGAUGAACUUCACGAGCAACUUUAAGACUUUUUUGUUAAACGAGAGGAAGGGUGGGGAGAUGGGUGGGAUUGAUUCCAUGAAGAUAUUUGGUUUGGCCCAACUGUGAUAGGCAGCGGGAAGACCUCCCUCUAGAUGCUCAAAGCCUGAAAAUGUUUUCUGUUACUUGACAAAGGAGAAUGGAGACUGCAGAGGGAACCAAGGGUCUCAGGCAGCUGACUCAAUGUCAUCUGCAGGGCCCCUCCGUGUGGAAGAGGGGGCCCAGGUCAGAGAAGGUCGGAAUGAGGCCGGGCAGGAGGGAUCGCACAGGGCUCGCUGGCUUCGGAAACAGAAGAUGGGCCGAGGAGGGCUGGAAGGUUCUAGAAGCCGGCAAAGCCAGGCCAGGGCUGCUGAGGCGGCUGGUCAGAGAGGAUCGCAGACACCUCCACCUCAACCCGGUGAGACCCGCGCUGGAAUCGGGACACACGGAACUGUGAGAUAAUAGAUGUGUGUUGUUUUAAGCCACCUACUUUACAGCAAUUUGUUAAAGCCGUGAUAGAAAAACGAACACACUGGUAUACCAAAUAUUAUCAUUUCAACGUGCAAUCAAUAUGACAAAUUAUUAACGAAAUCUAUUACAGUCUCCCUUUUUGCUACUAAGUCUCUGAAGUCUGGCAUGUAUUUUACACUGACCACAUGUUUUACUUUGGCUUAGUCACAUUUCUAGGGUUGGCCACAUGUGGCCAGAGGCUAUCAUUUUGGACAAGGCAGUCUCAGCUGGGGCCAACAUAGGGCAUACACAAAAUUAUAUAUUUGCAUUACAUUUCUGUUAAAAGUUCUGAUCAUUUAUUGGUCUGACAUAUGUUGUUCAGCCUUAACUUCAGCCCUUAGAUCUGAGGGGGUCUGUCACUGAAAGUUGGCUAGGUUGUUCACUGUAUAAGAAGAGAAAGCUUGGGUGAGGUGAGGUGGGAGAAGGAGACCUCAAAAAUAUCCCAGGCCUCCACCAUGAAACCCUGUGUCCCGGAGACUUUACCCGGCCCCUACAAAAGCACAAUUAUGUCAUAUUUAUUCCAAGUCUAGGCAAUAAAAGAAAUAAAUUAUUAGCCUUGUGUAGCUUUUGAUUUCCUUCAGCCCAUUCCUUUCUGGCCACACCAUUGACAAAGAACUGUGAGUUAAGCUGCUACUCU
This is a non-coding RNA of Ictidomys tridecemlineatus (thirteen-lined ground squirrel), 1566 nucleotides long. Lineage: Eukaryota; Metazoa; Chordata; Mammalia; Rodentia; Sciuridae. The record is from RefSeq and is a predicted model, not a curated record.